Aedes aegypti (yellow fever mosquito) is the source of this 117-nucleotide non-coding RNA. Lineage: Eukaryota; Metazoa; Arthropoda; Insecta; Diptera; Culicidae. The record is from Rfam.
AGCCCAGCAACUCCUAUCCCUACCUCCUCGCGAUACUUGCCGGGGUACGAGUAACCUUAGGGAAGAUCGGGUAACCAACCCCCGGUGGGAACUUUGGUCGUAUGCUGACAGGGAAGG